CCUACGGGCGGCAGCAGUGAGGAAUAUUGGUCAAUGGGCGCGAGCCUGAACCAGCCAAGUAGCGUGAAGGAUGACUGCCCUACGGGUUGUAAACUUCUUUUAUAAAGGAAUAAAGUGAGGCACGUGUGCCUUUUUGUAUGUACUUUAUGAAUAAGGAUCGGCUAACUCCGUGCCAACAGCCGCGGUAAUACGGAGGAUCCGAGCGUUAUCCGGAUUUAUUGGGUUUAAAGGGAGCGUAGAUGGGUUGUUAAGUCAGUUGUGAAAGUUCGGGGCUCAACCCUAAAAUUGCAAUUGAUACUGGCAGUCUUGAGUGGAGUAGAGGUAGGCGGAAUUCGUGGUGUAGCGGUGAAAUGCUUAGAUAUCGCGAAGAACUCCGAUUGCGAAGGCAGCUUGCUGAACUGCAACUGACGUUGAGGCACGAAAGUGUGGGUAUCAAACAGGAUUAGAUACCCGGGUAGUC
RNAcentral lists this ribosomal RNA (460 nucleotides) under uncultured bacterium. Its description in RNAcentral is "partial 16S ribosomal RNA". It matches the Rfam family "Bacterial small subunit ribosomal RNA", at positions 338 to 795 of the family's 1533-position model. The record is from RNAcentral.